GUCUUCCUAUUACCAGGGAAAGAAGGGAGGAUAACAUCUAAAGCAUCUUCUGCACAGUUUAUUGGGUAGAUCUCUAUUUUGCACAUAUUCGUAUGGAGGCCACUGGCGUCAGCAAAGAAAAAUAAGAUUCGCCGCAAAGCCGAUAAUUCGUUUUUUUGUAGGUUUGGCGAAAAUGGCAACAUCAUCAGCAUAAAGUGAACAUUGGAAUCUUCUUUGUCUUUGGAAGAGAUUAGAUAAAAUGUUUGCUUCCUCUGCCUCCUUCAUGAUUUGUUGUAGGGGUUCCAUAGCUAAAAUGAAAAGCAUAGGUGAUAGAGGGUCACCCUGUCUUAGGCCCCGUGCAUGAUAAAUAUGGUCCCCUGGUGCACCAUUAAGUAAAAUCCUGGAGGAGGAUGUACCUAACAAGUUAGCAACCCAGUUGCGCCAUUUUUGACCAAAACCGAAAUUUUGGAGAGUCUCAAGAAGAUAUGCCCAGUUGACGGAGUCAAAAGCUUUAGAGAUGUCCACCUUGAUAAAGAGAGAAGACUUCUUUUGCCGAUGAAGCAGUUUCACCAUGUUUUGUACAUAAAGAAAGUUGUCAUGAAUCACCCUUUUCCGAAUGAAAGCACUUUGAUUUUGAGAGAUUAGGAGAUUGAGCUUCGGGGGGCCAAUCUAUUUGCCAGGAUUUUGGCUAGGAUCUUGGCAAAGCUGUGCAUAAGACUAAUCGGCCUAUACUCUCCAACUCUGGUCAACUUCAAUAAUCUCCGAUCCCACGCCCGCUUAAAAAAGGUUCCAAUGAAGCCAUCAGGCCCUGGAGCUUUCUCAAGGGCCAAAUUUGAAACCACUUCUUUGAUCUCCUCUUCAUCGAAAUCUGCAUCCAGGUCUGAGAGAUCAACCUCCGGUAAAUGCAGCCUCUCCCAGUUUAAACAUUUUGUUCUUGUCGAAGGGACUCCUAAUCUUUGAUUGAAAAAAGGUUGAAGUUCAGCCUUCUUUUGGUCACAUGUGAUUGCAGUGCCAGAUGGGGUUUCAAGACUGUGUAUGAAAUUCUUCCUCUUUCUCGAAUUUGUUUUCAUGUGAAAAAAUUUUGAGUUAACAUCUCCACAUUUUAGCCAAGUCAAUCUCGAGCGCUGGCGAAUUCUUAUCUUUUCAAGACUUGCUAGACCAAGGAUCUUUUCUUUUAGUUCCUUUCGCAGCCAAAGUUCAUCAUCAGAGAGGGAUCUUGUCUCCUGAGCCACAUCAAGCUGGAAAAUCACUUCGUUUGCAAUUGCUAGUCUCAGUCAGAAAUCACCAAUAUUUGUCUUGCUCCAUCUUCGAAUAUCUCGUGCUAGGCAGCAAAGUUUAAGAUGAAAUUUUGCAAAAGGAUUGGUUGAUCCAAUUGGUCUGUUCCAAGAAUUUGAUACAACCUCUAGAAAGUCUGGCAUUUUAAGCCAGUAAGCUUCAAAGAGGAAAUUUCUAUUAAUUUCUCUUUGCUCAGAGCCGACAAUGAAGAGGGCGGCAUGAUCAGAGCUUGAAGAGGAGAGUGCGGACAUAUAAGCAGAUCCAAAAAGAAUAUCCCAACUUGGGGUGAAGAAAGCUCGAUCGAUCUUGGUCUGUGUUGGGUUUGACCGAGCUUAGGCCCAAGUGAAACGCCUACCAGAGAGUGGCAACUCUUUAAUCCCAAGUCUAUCUAUCGUUCCCCUGAAGCUCUGCAUUAGUCUCAUGUUCAAGCGAUCAUUAUUUUUAUCGGAAGCCUUGUAAAUAAGGUUGAAAUCACCUAUUAUUAGCCAAGCUGGGUUCAUGCAGAGUUCUAGAUGCUGCAGCUCUUCUAGGAAAAGGACUUUCUGCUCUUCUGACUGUGGUCCAUAAACCACAGUGAUUGACCAUGCAAUGUUUUCAUCUUUCAUCGUGAUCGUGGCCGACAGACUGAAAUCUUUGAUCAAAACAUCUGAGAGUGUGAAGUGGCUAUUGUCACAAGCCAGUAAAAUACCUCCCCUAGUGCCGAUUGCUGGGAGAAAGGCAUAGUCAGAAACAAACCGGGAGCCCAAAGUCUGGAGCACCACAGGAUCUGAAAAGACUUCCAGUUUUGUUUCUUGAAGACAUACAAUUGUAGCUUUCAUUUCAUCGACUAGAAGUUUAACAUUAGCUUUCCUGCUUGGGUUGUUAAGCCCUCUUACAUUCCAGUUGAGAACAAAGCAGUUUUGCUGAGACAUAACAAAAGGCAUGCUGCGACUAACAGUUGAUUGAAACCUAGGGGGUUAUGACUUGAGGGAAGACACAGGCGAACAUCUCUGAAACACAGCCAAGACAGAUGGCAGAAACACGAAGAGAUGAUUAGGGCGCUGCAAGCUUCCAUCGAGGAUAAAUUGGGAACUACUUCAUUGCGGUCACUCCGGUGCCUCCUCCAGUACAUUGGCAAGGGCACGGGCAUCUUGACAUCAAAGUUGCUCUUCAGGCCGGUGCGACCGUGGAUGACUUCUUCCUCCCGCCAAGGCGGAUCGACUUGCAACCUCCCUUCUCCACCAAAGUUGGAAUGGUCUUCACAGCCACGGGGGAGAGAUUUAAUGCAGGCAUCAAGUUUUUUGUUAUCAUCAAGAACACCGAAAUUAUUUGCAAGAAUUUCUUGGGCAAUGGUCUCUAUCUCGAGUUUCGUCUUGCUUUGCUUGCUAAGCGCACACUGUGUCGCUGCGGAGAAAAAGUCACCUUGUUACGACAGGGGCGCCGAGUCAUGUCGCCUGGAGCUGGGAGCAUUGGCGUCGUCAGCUCUGCAAGGAAGGCUUCAACCGGCUGCUCCCUUGCCCUCUCCGGUGUCGCAAGCGUCGCCUGUCCUGCAGCAGAGAGCACAAAGACAGGGGAAACCGGCCUGGGUUUAAUAUACUUAAGAACUAGCAUUGUGGUCCGCGCAGAUUGCACGGCUAGCAUCAUUA
This is a non-coding RNA of Oryza sativa Japonica Group (Japanese rice), 2879 nucleotides long. NCBI's taxonomy places the organism in Eukaryota, Viridiplantae, Streptophyta, Magnoliopsida, Poales, Poaceae. The record is from RefSeq and is a predicted model, not a curated record.